UAUGGCCCUAACACGUUGAAACACUGGUUACUGUAUGGUCACCAAAGUUAAGCAACAGCGAGCCUGGUCAGUACCUAGAUGGGUAACCACUUGGGAAUACAAGGUGCUGUAA
Molecule: non-coding RNA, 112 nt
Organism: Acanthosepion pharaonis
Lineage: Eukaryota; Metazoa; Mollusca; Cephalopoda; Sepiida; Sepiidae
Source: the annotation of a GenBank genome assembly